Molecule: ribosomal RNA, 484 nt
Filed under: uncultured bacterium
Lineage: Bacteria
Description: bacterial SSU rRNA
Rfam family: Bacterial small subunit ribosomal RNA
Source: RNAcentral
AGUGAACGCUGGCGGCAGGCCUAACACAUGCAAGUCGAGCGGCAGCGCGGGGGCAACCCUGGCGGCGAGCGGCGGACGGGUGAGGAAUGCAUCGGAAUCUACCUCGUUGUGGGGGGAUAACCUCGGGAAACCGGGACUAAUACCGCAUACGACCUACGGGUGAAAGUGGGGGACCUUCGGGCCUCACGCGAUGAGAUGAGCCGAUGCCGGAUUAGCUAGUUGGCGGGGUAAAGGCCCACCAAGGCGACGAUCCGUAGCUGGUCUGAGAGGAUGAUCAGCCACACUGGAACUGAGACACGGUCCAGACUCCUACGGGAGGCAGCAGUGGGGAAUAUUGGACAAUGGGCGCAAGCCUGAUCCAGCCAUGCCGCGUGUGUGAAGAAGGCCUCGGGUUGGUUAAAGACGAACUUUUGUUUGGGGUAAGGAAACCGGUACGGGAGUUAAUAACUUACGGUCUGAAUGACGGUACCCAAACGAAUAAGAC